UUCGCAAUGCCCGAAAGGGUGACGAAGCGACGCCGCGUGCGGGAAGAAGGCCUUCGGGUUGUAAACCGCUGUCGGGAGUUAAGAAAUGCAAGGGUGUCAACAGCAUCCUUGCUUGACUAAGGCUCCGGAGGAAGCCACGGCUAACUCUGUGCCAGCAGCCGCGGUAAUACAGAGGCGGCAAGCGUUGUUCGGAAUUAUUGGGCGUAAAGAGCACGUAGGUGGUUUUGUAAGUCAGAUGUGAAAGCCUUCUGUUCAAAGGAAGAACGGCAUCUGAAACUGCGGAUCUUGAGUGUAGGAGGGGAGAGCGGAACUUCUGGUGGAGCGGUGAAAUGCGUAGAUAUCAGAAGGAACGUCGGCGGCGAAAGCGACUCUCUGGCCUAUUACUGACACUGAGUGUGCGAAAGUUAGGGGAGCAAACGGGAUUAGAUACCCCGGUAGUCCUAACUGUAAACGAUGGGCACUAAGUAGAGGGGUUUU
This 477-nucleotide ribosomal RNA is filed under the name uncultured anaerobic ammonium-oxidizing bacterium. RNAcentral's name for it is "bacterial SSU rRNA". It matches the Rfam family "Bacterial small subunit ribosomal RNA", at positions 365 to 832 of the family's 1533-position model. The record is from RNAcentral.